UGGGGAAUUUUGGACAAUGGGCGAAAGCCUGAUCCAGCAAUGCCGCGUGUGUGAAGAAGGCCUUCGGGUUGUAAAGCACUUUUGUCCGGAAAGAGAUCCUUGGCUCUAAUACAGUCGGGGGAUGACGGUACCGGAAGAAUAAGCACCGGCUAACUACGUGCCAGCAGCCGCGGUAAUACGUAGGGUGCAAGCGUUAAUCGGAAUUACUGGGCGUAAAGCGUGCGCAGGCGGUUUGCUAAGACCGAUGUGAAAUCCCCGGGCUCAACCUGGGAACUGCAUUGGUGACUGGCAGGCUAGAGUAUGGCAGAGGGGGGUAGAAUUCCACGUGUAGCAGUGAAAUGCGUAGAGAUGUGGAGGAAUACCGAUGGCGAAGGCAGCCCCCUGGGCCAAUACUGACGCUCAUGCACGAAAGCGUGGGGAGCAAACAGGAUUAGAUACCCUGGUAGUCCACGCCCUAAACGACGUCAACUAGUUGUUGGGGAUUCAUUUCCUUAGUAACGUAGCUAACGCGUGAAGUUGACCGCCU
Molecule: ribosomal RNA, 526 nt
Filed under: uncultured bacterium
Lineage: Bacteria
Description: partial 16S ribosomal RNA
Rfam family: Bacterial small subunit ribosomal RNA
Source: RNAcentral